UAAGCGACUAAGCGUACACGGUGGAUGCCUAGGCAGUCAGAGGCGAUGAAGGGCGUGCUAAUCUGCGAAAAGCGUCGGUAAGCUGAUAUGAAGCGUUAUAACCGACGAUACCCGAAUGGGGAAACCCAGUGCAAUACGUUGCACUAUCGUUAGAUGAAUACAUAGUCUAACGAGGCGAACCGGGGGAACUGAAACAUCUAAGUACCCCGAGGAAAGAAAUCAACCGAGAUUCCCCCAGUAGCGGCGAGCGAACGGGGAGGAGCCCAGAGUCUGAAUCAGUUUGUGUGUUAGUGGAAGCGUCUGGAAAGUCGCACGGUACAGGGUGAUAGUCCCGUACACCAAAAUGCACAGGCUGUGAACUCGAUGAGUAGGGCGGGACACGUGACAUCCUGUCUGAAUAUGGGGGGACCAUCCUCCAAGGCUAAAUACUCCUGACUGACCGAUAGUGAACCAGUACCGUGAGGGAAAGGCGAAAAGAACCCCGGCGAGGGGAGUGAAAUAGAACCUGAAACCGUGUACGUACAAGCAGUGGGAGCACCUUCGUGGUGUGACUGCGUACCUUUUGUAUAAUGGGUCAGCGACUUAUAUUUUGUAGCAAGGUUAACCGAAUAGGGGAGCCGUAGGGAAACCGAGUCUUAACUGGGCGUCUAGUUGCAAGGUAUAGACCCGAAACCCGGUGAUCUAGCCAUGGGCAGGUUGAAGGUUGGGUAACACUAACUGGAGGACCGAACCGACUAAUGUUGAAAAAUUAGCGGAUGACUUGUGGCUGGGGGUGAAAGGCCAAUCAAACCGGGAGAUAGCUGGUUCUCCCCGAAAGCUAUUUAGGUAGCGCCUCGUGAACUCAUCUUCGGGGGUAGAGCACUGUUUCGGCUAGGGGGCCAUCCCGGCUUACCAAACCGAUGCAAACUCCGAAUACCGAAGAAUGUUAUCACGGGAGACACACGGCGGGUGCUAACGUCCGUCGUGAAGAGGGAAACAACCCAGACCGCCAGCUAAGGUCCCAAAGUCAUGGUUAAGUGGGAAACGAUGUGGGAAGGCACAGACAGCCAGGAUGUUGGCUUAGAAGCAGCCAUCAUUUAAAGAAAGCGUAAUAGCUCACUGGUCGAGUCGGCCUGCGCGGAAGAUGUAACGGGGCUAAACCAUGCACCGAAGCUGCGGCAGCGACACUUAGGUGUUGUUGGGUAGGGGAGCGUUCUGUAAGCCGUUGAAGGUGACCUGUGAGGGUUGCUGGAGGUAUCAGAAGUGCGAAUGCUGACAUAAGUAACGAUAAUGCGGGUGAAAAACCCGCACGCCGGAAGACCAAGGGUUCCUGUCCAACGUUAAUCGGGGCAGGGUGAGUCGACCCCUAAGGCGAGGCUGAAAAGCGUAGUCGAUGGGAAACAGGUUAAUAUUCCUGUACUUGGUGUUACUGCGAAGGGGGGACGGAGAAGGCUAGGCUGGCCGGGCGACGGUUGUCCCGGUUUAAGCGUGUAGGGGGAGUGACCAGGUAAAUCCGGUUGCUUAUCAACCCUGAGGCGUGAUGACGAUGCACCACGGUGCAGAAGCAGUUGAUGCCAUGCUUCCAGGAAAAGCCUCUAAGCAUCAGGUAACAUUAAAUCGUACCCCAAACCGACACAGGUGGUCAGGUAGAGAAUACUCAGGCGCUUGAGAGAACUCGGGUGAAGGAACUAGGCAAAAUGGUGCCGUAACUUCGGGAGAAGGCACGCUGGCGUUAGGUGAAAGGACUAGCUCCUGGAGCUGAAGCCAGUCGCAGAUACCAGCUGGCUGCAACUGUUUAAUAAAAACACAGCACUGUGCAAACACGAAAGUGGACGUAUACGGUGUGACGCCUGCCCGGUGCUGGAAGGUUAAUUGAUGGGGUCAGCCGCAAGGGGAAGCUCUUGAUCGAAGCCCCAGUAAACGGCGGCCGUAACUAUAACGGUCCUAAGGUAGCGAAAUUCCUUGUCGGGUAAGUUCCGACCUGCACGAAUGGCGUAAUGAUGGCCAGGCUGUCUCCACCCGAGACUCAGUGAAAUUGAACUCGCUGUGAAGAUGCAGUGUACCCGCGGCAAGACGGAAAGACCCCGUGAACCUUUACUAUAGCUUGACACUGAACAUUGAGCCUUGAUGUGUAGGAUAGGUGGGAGGCCUUGAAGUGUGGACGCCAGUCUGCAUGGAGCCAACCUUGAAAUACCACCCUUUAAUGUUUGAUGUUCUAACUCGGCCCCAUGAUCUGGGGUGAGGACAGUGUCUGGUGGGUAGUUUGACUGGGGCGGUCUCCUCCCAAAGAGUAACGGAGGAGCACGAAGGUUAGCUAAUCACGGUCGGACAUCGUGAGGUUAGUGCAAAGGCAUAAGCUAGCUUGACUGCGAGAGUGACGGCUCGAGCAGGUACGAAAGUAGGUCUUAGUGAUCCGGUGGUUCUGAAUGGAAGGGCCAUCGCUCAACGGAUAAAAGGUACUCCGGGGAUAACAGGCUGAUACCGCCCAAGAGUUCAUAUCGACGGCGGUGUUUGGCACCUCGAUGUCGGCUCAUCACAUCCUGGGGCUGAAGUAGGUCCCAAGGGUAUGGCUGUUCGCCAUUUAAAGUGGUACGCGAGCUGGGUUUAGAACGUCGUGAGACAGUUCGGUCCCUAUCUGCCGUGGGCGUUGGAAGAUUGAGAGGGGCUGCUCCUAGUACGAGAGGACCGGAGUGGACGAAUCACUGGUGUUCGGGUUGUCAUGCCAAUGGCAUUGCCCGGUAGCUAAAUUCGGAAGAGAUAACCGCUGAAAGCAUCUAAGCGGGAAACUUGCCUCGAGAUGAGUCUUCCCUGGGGCUUAAAGCCCCCUGAAGGAACGUUAAAGACUAUGACGUUGAUAGGCUGGGUGUGUAAGUGCAGCGAUGUAUUGAGCUAACCAGUACUAAUGAUCCGUGAGGCUUAACCU
Molecule: ribosomal RNA, 2902 nt
Filed under: Yersinia pestis Antiqua
Lineage: Bacteria; Pseudomonadati; Pseudomonadota; Gammaproteobacteria; Enterobacterales; Yersiniaceae
Description: bacterial LSU rRNA
Rfam family: Bacterial large subunit ribosomal RNA
Source: RNAcentral